CCUACGGGAGGCAGCAGUGGGGAAUAUUGCACAAUGGGGGAAACCCUGAUGCAGCAACGCCGCGUGAAGGAAGACGGUUUUCGGAUUGUAAACUUCUAUCAAUAGGGAAGAAAGAAAUGACGGUACCUAAAUAAGAAGCCCCGGAUAACUACGUGCCAGCAGCCGCGGUAAUACGUAGGGGGCAAGCGUUAUCCGGAAUUACUGGGUGUAAAGGGAGAGUAGGCGGCAAGGUAAGCGAUAUGUGAAAGCCUUAAGCUUAAAUUAAGGAUGGGAUAAUGAACUAUCUAGCUAGAGUAAAGGAGAGGAAAGUGGAAUUCCUAGUGUAGCGGUGAAAUGCGUAGAUAUUAGGAAGAACACCAGUGGCGAAGGCGGCUUUCUGGACUGAAACUGACGCUGAGGCUCGAAAGCGUGGGGAGCGAACAGGAUUAGAUACCCUUGUAGUC
Molecule: ribosomal RNA, 443 nt
Filed under: uncultured bacterium
Lineage: Bacteria
Description: partial 16S ribosomal RNA
Rfam family: Bacterial small subunit ribosomal RNA
Source: RNAcentral